RNAcentral lists this ribosomal RNA (323 nucleotides) under uncultured eukaryote. Its description in RNAcentral is "partial 18S ribosomal RNA". It matches the Rfam family "Eukaryotic small subunit ribosomal RNA", at positions 1470 to 1796 of the family's 1831-position model. The record is from RNAcentral.
CCCUUAGAUGUUCUGGGCUGCACGCGUGCUACACUGAUAUUGCCAAUAUGUCAUUCUUAUCCGAAAUGGAUUGGGUAAUCAAGUAAUGAAAUUUCAUGCUUGGAAUCGGUAAUUGCAAUUUUAUCGUGAACGAGGAAUUCCUAGUAAGCACUAGUCAUCAGCUAAUGUUGAUUAUGUCCCUGCCCUUUGUACGCACCGCCCGUCGCUACUACUGAUUGGGUGUUCAAGUGAGAUGCUUAGACCCUUGUUGCAUGGUUCAUUAUUGUGCUCCGAAAGGAAAAAGUUUCAAGCUUGAGUGUCUAGAGGAAGUAAAAGUCGUAACA